CCUACGGGUGGCAGCAGUGGGGGAUAUUGCUCAAUGGGGGAAACCCUGAUGCAGCGACGCCGCGUGGGGGAUGGAGGGUUUCGGCGCGUAAAGCCCUUUUGGUAGGGAAGAAGAUGACGGUACCUGUCCAAUAAGCUCCGGCUAACUACGUGCCAGCAGCCGCGGUAAUACGGAGGGUGCAAGCGUUAUCCGGAUUUACUGGGCGUAAAGGGGGCGUAGGCGGGAAGGCAAGCCAGGAGUGAAAUCCUUGGGCCCAACCCUAGAACUGCACUUGAAACUGGAUGGUUGGAGUAUAGGAGAGGCAGGCGGAAUUCGUGGUGUAGCGGUGAAAUGCGUAGAUAUUAGGAGGAACACUGAUGGCGAAGGCGGCCUGCUAGACUGUAACUGACGUUGAGGCGCGAAGGCGUGGGGAGCAAACAGGAUUAGAUACCCGUGUAGUC
Molecule: ribosomal RNA, 440 nt
Filed under: uncultured bacterium
Lineage: Bacteria
Description: partial 16S ribosomal RNA
Rfam family: Bacterial small subunit ribosomal RNA
Source: RNAcentral